AGUGAACGCUGGCGGUAGGCCUAACACAUGCAAGUCGAACGGCAGCACAGUAAGAGCUUGCUCUUACGGGUGGCGAGUGGCGGACGGGUGAGGAAUACAUCGGAAUCUACUUUUUCGUGGGGGAUAACGUAGGGAAACUUACGCUAAUACCGCAUACGACCUACGGGUGAAAGCAGGGGAUCUUCGGACCUUGCGCGAUUGAAUUAGCCGAUGCCGGAUUAGCUAGUUGGCGGGGUAAAGGCCCACCAAGGCGACGAUCCGUAGCUGGUCUGAGAGGAUGAUCAGCCACACUGGAAGUGAGACACGGUCCAGACUCCUACGGGAGGCAGCAGUGGGGAAUAUUGGACAAUGGGCGCAAGCAUGAUCCAGCCAUACCGCGUGGGUGAAGAAGGCCUUCGGGUUGUAAAGACCUUUUGUUGGGAAAGAAAAGCAGCAGGUUAAUACCACGCUGUUCUGACGGUACCCAAAGAAUAAGCACCGGCUAACUUCGUG
This 492-nucleotide ribosomal RNA is filed under the name uncultured bacterium. RNAcentral describes it as "partial 16S ribosomal RNA". It matches the Rfam family "Bacterial small subunit ribosomal RNA", at positions 29 to 507 of the family's 1533-position model. The record is from RNAcentral.